Molecule: ribosomal RNA, 498 nt
Filed under: uncultured bacterium
Lineage: Bacteria
Description: partial 16S ribosomal RNA
Rfam family: Bacterial small subunit ribosomal RNA
Source: RNAcentral
AGCGAACGCUGGCGGCGUGCCUAACACAUGCAAGUCGAACGUGAAAAGGGAAACCUGAGUAAAGUGGCGUACGGGUGAGUAACGCGUAGGUAAUCUACCCCAGAAUCUGGAAUAACCUGCCGAAAGGCGGGCUAAUACUGGAUAGAGCGAGGGAACUCGUAAGAGAGUUUUUCGGGAAAGGGAGCCCGCAAGGGCCUUCGUUCUGGGAUGAGCCUGCGUCUCAUUAGCUAGUUGGUAAGGUAACGGCUUACCAAGGCGAUGAUGAGUAGCUGGUCUGAGAGGAUGGGCAGCCACACUGGAACUGAAACACGGUCCAGACUCCUACGGGAGGCAGCAGUGGGGAAUCUUGCGGAAUGGACGAAAGUCUGACGCAGCCACGCCGCGUGAGUGAAGAAGGCCUUCGGGUUGUAAAGCUCUGUCGGAUGGGACGAACAUAUUCAUAGUGAAUAGCUAGGAGGACUGACGGUACCAUCAAAGGAAGCACCGGCUAACUCCGUG